This 427-nucleotide ribosomal RNA is filed under the name uncultured bacterium. RNAcentral's name for it is "bacterial SSU rRNA". It matches the Rfam family "Bacterial small subunit ribosomal RNA", at positions 355 to 776 of the family's 1533-position model. The record is from RNAcentral.
UCGAGAAUCAUUCACAAUGGGCGCAAGCCUGAUGGUGCUACGCCGCGUGGGGGAAGAAGGGCUUCGGUUCGUAAACCCCUGUCAUCUGUGAGUAAGACUCCCAAUAAAAGCUUGGGAGGUUGAUAUUAGCAGAAGAGGAAGGGACGGCUAACUCUGUGCCAGCAGCCGCGGUAAUACAGAGGUCCCAAGCGUUGUUCGGAUUUACUGGGCGUAAAGGGUGCGUAGGCGGCUAGGAAAGUUUGAUGUGAAAUCUCCGGGCUUAACCCGGAAACUGCAUUGAAAACUAUCUGGCUAGAGGAUCGGAGAGGAGAUUGGAAUUCUCGGUGUAGCAGUGAAAUGCGUAGAUAUCGAGAGGAACACCAGUUGCGAAGGCGGAUCUCUGGACGGUUUCUGACGCUGAGGCACGAAAGCUGGGGUAGCGAAGAGG